UACGUAGGGGGCUAGCGUUGUCCGGAUUUAUUGGGCGUAAAGAGCGUGUAGGCGGCCAGGUAGGUCCGGUGUGAAAACUCGAGGCUUAACCUCGAGAUGUCAUCGGAAACCAUCUGGCUAGAGUCCGGAAGAGGAAAGUGGAAUUCCUGGCGUAGCGGUGAAAUGCGCAGAUAUCAGGAAGAACACCAAUGGCGAAAGCAGCUUUCUGGGACGGUACUGACGCUGAGACGCGAAAGCGUGGGGAGCGAACAGG
Molecule: ribosomal RNA, 253 nt
Filed under: uncultured bacterium
Lineage: Bacteria
Description: partial 16S ribosomal RNA
Rfam family: Bacterial small subunit ribosomal RNA
Source: RNAcentral